GAUUUUAUGGUGUAAUGGUGAGCACUCUGGACUUGGAAUCCAGAAUUAACAAUCAGACAUCUGCAAUUUUUUAGAGGCA
RNAcentral lists this transfer RNA (79 nucleotides) under Pan troglodytes (chimpanzee). The stretch from base 1 to 55 matches the Rfam family "tRNA". Rfam says of the family: Transfer RNA (tRNA) molecules are approximately 80 nucleotides in length. Their secondary structure includes four short double-helical elements and three loops (D, anti-codon, and T loops). The record is from Rfam by way of RNAcentral. Lineage: Eukaryota; Metazoa; Chordata; Mammalia; Primates; Hominidae.